RNAcentral lists this ribosomal RNA (289 nucleotides) under uncultured bacterium. RNAcentral's name for it is "partial 16S ribosomal RNA". It matches the Rfam family "Bacterial small subunit ribosomal RNA", at positions 775 to 1067 of the family's 1533-position model. The record is from RNAcentral.
GGAUUAGAUACCCUGGUAGUCCACGCCGUAAACGAUGGAUGCUCGAUGUUGCACCGCUUUAGGUGCAGUGUCCAAGCUAACGCGUUAAGCAUCCCACCUGGGGAGUACGAUCGCAAGGUUGAAACUCAAAGGAAUUGACGGGGGCCCGCACAAGCGGUGGAGCAUGUGGAUUAAUUCGAUGCAACGCGAAGAACCUUACCCAGGCUCGAACGCAACCGGACAGGCCCCGAAAAGGGCUCUUCUUCGGACUGGUUGCGAGGUGCUGCAUGGCUGUCGUCAGCUCGUGCCG